AACUGGAGUCCUUGACUCGCACAAGGUGAUAGACAUAUCCCUUAGAUAUCAUUUUUCUCGCCCGAAGGUAAGAAACAACCUAAACCCUAAACGUUGAAGUACUACCCCCUACUCUUGGAUGGGUUCAUUUGGUAACUGAAACUAGAUAAUUUUGUUUCUUCAGUUGACUGAGGCAUAGCAAGAAUGAAGCCAAUCCAUGCUUAGAAUGACAUCAAAAUU
RNAcentral lists this long non-coding RNA (219 nucleotides) under Capsicum annuum. Its description in RNAcentral is "long non-coding RNA (CANN_LNC015873)". Lineage: Eukaryota; Viridiplantae; Streptophyta; Magnoliopsida; Solanales; Solanaceae. The record is from RNAcentral.